This 229-nucleotide ribosomal RNA is filed under the name uncultured bacterium. RNAcentral describes it as "partial 16S ribosomal RNA". It matches the Rfam family "Bacterial small subunit ribosomal RNA", at positions 568 to 796 of the family's 1533-position model. The record is from RNAcentral.
CGUGUAGGUGGUUUGGUAAGUCGGAUGUGAAAUCCUAAGGCUCAACCUUGGAACUGCAUUCGAAACUGCCAGACUAGAGUCCAGGAGAGGAAAGUGGAAUUUCCAGUGUAGGAGUGAAAUCCGUAGAUAUUGGAAGGAACACCAGUAGCGAAAGCGACUUUCUGGCCUGGUACUGACACUGAGACGCGAAAGCGUGGGGAGCAAACAGGAUUAGAUACCCUGGUAGUCC